Molecule: ribosomal RNA, 253 nt
Filed under: uncultured bacterium
Lineage: Bacteria
Description: partial 16S ribosomal RNA
Rfam family: Bacterial small subunit ribosomal RNA
Source: RNAcentral
UACAGAGGUCUCGAGCGUUGUUCGGAUUCAUUGGGCGUAAAGGGUGCGUAGGUGGCGCCGUAAGUCGGGUGUGAAAUUUCGGAGCUUAACUCCGAAACUGCAUUCGAUACUGCGGUGCUUGAGGACUGGAGAGGAGACUGGAAUUCAUGGUGUAGCAGUGAAAUGCGUAGAGAUCGUGAGGAAGACCAGUGGCGAAGGCGGGUCUCUGGACAGUUCCUGACACUGAGGCACGAAGGCCAGGGGAGCAAACGGG